GAUGAACGCUGGCGGCGUGCCUAAUACAUGCAAGUCGAGCGAACAGAUGAGAAGCUUGCUUCUCUGAUGUUAGCGGCGGACGGGUGAGUAACACGUGGGUAACCUACCUAUAAGACUGGGAUAACUCCGGGAAACCGGGGCUAAUACCGGAUAAUAUUUUGAACCGCAUGGUUCAAUAGUGAAAGACGUUUUCGGCUGUCACCUAUAGAUGGACCAGCGCCGUAUUAGCUCGUUGGUAAGGUAACGGCUUACCAAGGCGACGAUACGUAGCCGGCCUGAGAUGGUGAUCGGCCACACUGGAACUGAGACACGGUCCAGACUCCUACGGGAGGCAGCAGUAGGGAAUCUUCCGCAAUGGGCGAAAGCCUGACGGAGCAACGCCGCGUGAGUGAUGAAGGUCUUCGGAUCGUAAAACUCUGUUGUUAGGGAAGAACAAAUUUGUUAGUAACUGAACAAGUCUUGACGGUACCUAACCAGAAAGCCACGGCUAACUACGUGCCAGCAGCCGCCGUAA
Molecule: ribosomal RNA, 514 nt
Filed under: uncultured bacterium
Lineage: Bacteria
Description: partial 16S ribosomal RNA
Rfam family: Bacterial small subunit ribosomal RNA
Source: RNAcentral